Molecule: non-coding RNA, 74 nt
Organism: Phrynosoma platyrhinos (Desert horned lizard)
Lineage: Eukaryota; Metazoa; Chordata; Lepidosauria; Squamata; Phrynosomatidae
Source: the annotation of a GenBank genome assembly
AAUCCAGUGAAGCAUAGUGGUUUGAACACUAGUCUACAACACUGGAGACCAGGGUUCAAAUCCCUGCUUGGUCA